Long non-coding RNA from Cyprinus carpio (common carp), 807 nucleotides. NCBI's taxonomy places the organism in Eukaryota, Metazoa, Chordata, Actinopteri, Cypriniformes, Cyprinidae. The record is from Ensembl.
UGGAUUUGGUGGGCCUGGAGGUCUUUAUCCUGGAGCUGGAACAACUGGUCAGAAACUGCCAAAACCAGGAAUUGGACCUGGAGGUGCAGGAACUGGUCCAGGUGGCACAGGACUUGGACCUGGUGGCGUGGGAGUUCUGCCUGGAGGUGUAGGAAUUGGACCAGGUGGCACAGGAAUUGGACCAGGUGGAGCUGGAGUUGGGCCUGGAGGUGUAGGAAUUGGAACUGGCGGUACUGGAACUGGAAUUGUAGGAGCAGGAGUUGCGCCUGGUGGAGGUUUACCAGGAAUUGGGACAGGCACUGGGGGCAAAGUCGGAAAGACUGGGAAGGCACCAGUGCCAGGUCACUCUGUCUAUUGAUGGAGCUCCCCUUUUGUUGGAAUAGUUUUAUCAAAUCUUUGACAAGAAAGCAUUAUUUUAUAUUUUCUCUUUCUGCAAACAAACAAGGUGUUGGGAUUCCUGGGCUAUACCAAGGGGGUAUAGUUCCUGGACAAGGUGAGUGACUGAAAUAUUAGAAAUAUGACAGUUAUAAGAUUUUCCACUGUUUCUAGAAUAUUCAUACACAUAUGACAUUUACAUAUUUGUUUUUAUAUGUAGGUUUUGGCGGUAGAGGCAUUCUGCCAGGUGUAGCAACGGGAUCUCAAACUGGUAAGCUUUAUGUGGUUUAUAGUUUUAUAAUUGAUAGCUUUAUCCAGCAAUUAAAAUGUUUUCUGAAGCUUUGUCUUCUAUUUUAUUGUUUAUAGGGCUGCUUGGUCAAGGUGCACUUGGAGCUAAUGGUAAAAUAAAUUACUGAGAGAACAGUUCUUUCA